AAUAUUGCACAAUGGGCGCAAGCCUGAUGCAGCCAUGCCGCGUGUAUGAAGAAGGCCUUCGGGUUGUAAAGUACUUUCAGCAGUGAGGAAGGUGGGUAUGUUAAUAGCAUACUCAUUUGACGUUAGCUGCAGAAGAAGCACCGGCUAACUCCGUGCCAGCAGCCGCGGUAAUACGGAGGGUGCGAGCGUUAAUCGGAAUUACUGGGCGUAAAGCGCAUGCAGGUGGUUUGUUAAGUCAGAUGUGAAAGCCCGGGGCUCAACCUCGGAAUUGCAUUUGAAACUGGCAAACUAGAGUACUGUAGAGGGGGUAGAAUUUCAGGUGUAGCGGUGAAAAUGCGUAGAGAUCUGAAGGAAUACCGGUGGCGAAGGCGGCCCCCUGGACAGAUACUGACACUCAGAUGCGAAAGCGUGGGGAGCAAACAGGAUUAGAUACCCCGGUAG
This 441-nucleotide ribosomal RNA is filed under the name uncultured bacterium. Its description in RNAcentral is "bacterial SSU rRNA". It matches the Rfam family "Bacterial small subunit ribosomal RNA", at positions 360 to 793 of the family's 1533-position model. The record is from RNAcentral.